ACGUCCUUAGUUCAGUCUGGUAGAACGCGGGUCUCCAAAACCCGAUGUCGCAGGUUCAAAUCCUACAGGGCGUG
This 74-nucleotide transfer RNA is filed under the name Asplenium pseudocapillipes. RNAcentral's name for it is "tRNA-Trp". It matches the Rfam family "tRNA". From Rfam's summary of the family: Transfer RNA (tRNA) molecules are approximately 80 nucleotides in length. Their secondary structure includes four short double-helical elements and three loops (D, anti-codon, and T loops). Further hydrogen bonds mediate the characteristic L-shaped molecular structure. tRNAs have two regions of fundamental functional importance: the anti-codon, which is responsible for specific mRNA codon recognition, and the 3' end, to which the tRNAs corresponding amino acid is attached (by aminoacyl-tRNA synthetases). tRNAs cope with the degeneracy of the genetic code in two manners: having more than one tRNA (with a specific anti-codon) for a particular amino acid; and 'wobble' base-pairing, i.e. permitting non-standard base-pairing at the 3rd anti-codon position. The record is from RNAcentral. Lineage: Eukaryota; Viridiplantae; Streptophyta; Polypodiopsida; Polypodiales; Aspleniaceae.